AGUGAACGCUGGCGGUAGGCCUAACACAUGCAAGUCGAACGGCAGCACAGUAAGAGCUUGCUCUUACGGGUGGCGAGUGGCGGACGGGUGAGGAAUACAUCGGAAUCUACUUUUUCGUGGGGGAUAACGUAGGGAAACUUACGCUAAUACCGCAUACGACAUACGGGUGAAAGCAGGGGAUCUUCGGACCUUGCGCGAUUGAAUGAGCCGAUGUCGGAUUAGCUAGUUGGCGGGGUAAAGGCCCACCAAGGCGACGAUCCGUAGCUGGUCCGAGAGGAUGAUCAGCCACACUGGAACUGAGACACGGUCCAGACUCCUACGGGAGGCAGCAGUGGGGAAUAUUGGACAAUGGGCGCAAGCCUGAUCCAGCCAUACCGCGUGGGUGAAGAAGGCCUUCGGGUUGUAAAGCCCUUUUGUUGGGAAAGAAAAGCAGCAGGUUAAUACCCCGCUGUUCUGACGGUACCCAAAGAAUAAGCACCGGCUAACUUCGUG
RNAcentral lists this ribosomal RNA (492 nucleotides) under uncultured bacterium. RNAcentral describes it as "partial 16S ribosomal RNA". It matches the Rfam family "Bacterial small subunit ribosomal RNA", at positions 29 to 507 of the family's 1533-position model. The record is from RNAcentral.